CUAAGUAGUAGUGCCGCAGGUAAUGAGAUAGCAAUUUUACCUGCUGCCCACUGCUUAACA
Molecule: microRNA precursor, 60 nt
Filed under: Ptychodera flava
Lineage: Eukaryota; Metazoa; Hemichordata; Enteropneusta; Ptychoderidae
Description: Pfl-Mir-252-P1_pre stem-loop
Rfam family: microRNA mir-251 microRNA precursor family
Source: RNAcentral